GUGAUUUGAUUUAAUUUUGAGUUAAUUUUCAGCAAUGGUGUCAAUGAAGACGGAGAAUGGUCAAACAGUAAUGGUCCCACUCUUUCACAAUCACGAAAACAUAUAUGGGAAGCAUGUUUUCAGAUUUCUGUUAAACCAGUUUCAGGGAAGAAAGUAGAGCACAAUGGAAUCAAAGUUGAGCUGCUUGGUCAGAUAGGUGUGCUAUCUUUGUUUCUAUUGAUUUAAAUUCCCAACAUGCAAUGGUUGCUCACUUCGGUAGUUCUUCUGUGUAUGCUUUGUACUGAUAUAAUUUAUUUAUAUUAUUGCAAAACAGGUGUUUUGAUUAGGCUAACAUAGACUUACAUCUGACUAUCCUAUUGAAAGCACUAAUCUUUGAAAGACUUGCGAUAAUUUCCAAGGUAAAUCAUUCCAUUGAUUUGUGGAUGAACUUUUGUUGUCAAUGAAGUAAUUCAAAAAAAUUGUGCUUCUGUAAUCUUUUUUUCCUUCUUCUUUACGGAAUUACCGAAUGUCGUCGAGUUGCUUCCCUUUUUUCUUUUCUCGCUCUUUUUUUCCUCUCUUUAUGUUCGCGAAGCCGUUUCUUAUGAUCUUUUUCUGUGUAAAUGACACUCUUUUAGAAAGAUCAAUGUUAAUUUAAGACAUGGUAGUUGUAGACUCAAUCCUAUCGAGAGAGCUUAGACCACUAGAAGAGCGAUAUGCUGUAAGCCUCUUCUUUGGUUUACCAUUUGAAAAUUUUAAUGCAGUUUGGGACGAGAUAU
Molecule: non-coding RNA, 755 nt
Organism: Erythranthe guttata (spotted monkey flower)
Lineage: Eukaryota; Viridiplantae; Streptophyta; Magnoliopsida; Lamiales; Phrymaceae
Source: RefSeq, a predicted model, not a curated record